This is a long non-coding RNA of Gossypium arboreum, 529 nucleotides long. RefSeq lists it as uncharacterized. The transcript has 2 exons. NCBI's taxonomy places the organism in Eukaryota, Viridiplantae, Streptophyta, Magnoliopsida, Malvales, Malvaceae. The record is from RefSeq and is a predicted model, not a curated record.
CACUUGAUGGUGUGAUCCUCUUUCUCCUGAUUGCAGCCAUUUUUUGCCAUUUUCUUACUAACUUGAUAAGCUUCUUAGUGUUGACCAUCUUGCUUUGCUCUAAGGUUAAUAGGAAAGAACUCCGAGAUGAAAGGAAAAAGAGGGAAGAUUUAGGCUUGAAACUCUUCUGGAUAUAAAGCAAUGGAAAUUUGAUGAAUAUAUAACUAGAAGGCAAACAUGGAGAACCACUUUCAGAACAUAGAAAAUCAAAUCAAUCAACGUACGGUUUUAGUGUAGCAGAUUAGAAACUUAAGAAGUUGACCAAGAGGUGGUCGCUCUCAAGGAAUUAACAUUGAUUUUCUGAAUAAUAACACAAUAUGCAUACUUAUGUAGCUUUUGGAUGGUAUAAUGACAUGAUAGAAUGUGAUUACAAUGUUGUAACUUUUUGAUGUUGUAAAAUUUUAUAACAUAUGAAUUAUGACAUAUAAACUAAUGAAAUCAUGUAACUUUUUGUUAAUAUAUGAAUAUUAUGUUUGGAUAUGAAAUAUAA